This 253-nucleotide ribosomal RNA is filed under the name uncultured bacterium. RNAcentral's name for it is "partial 16S ribosomal RNA". It matches the Rfam family "Bacterial small subunit ribosomal RNA", at positions 524 to 776 of the family's 1533-position model. The record is from RNAcentral.
UACGGAGGUGGCAAGCGUUACUCGGAUUUACUGGGUGUAAAGGGCACGUAGGCGGCCCGGUCAGCCCUGCCUAAAAUGCUCUGGCUCAACCAGAGCAGGCGGUGGGGGACUUCCGGGCUAGAGGGCGGGAGAGGCGAGCGGAAUUCCCGGUGUAAGGGUGAAAUCUGUAGAUAUCGGGAGGAACACCAGUGGCGAAAGCGGCUCGCUGGCCCGUUUCUGACGCUAAGGUGCGAAAGCUAGGGGAGCAAACAGG